This 73-nucleotide transfer RNA is filed under the name Camelus dromedarius (Arabian camel). It matches the Rfam family "tRNA". From Rfam's summary of the family: Transfer RNA (tRNA) molecules are approximately 80 nucleotides in length. Their secondary structure includes four short double-helical elements and three loops (D, anti-codon, and T loops). The record is from Rfam by way of RNAcentral. Lineage: Eukaryota; Metazoa; Chordata; Mammalia; Artiodactyla; Camelidae. RNAcentral also lists the same sequence under 1 other name.
AAGGGUAUAGCUCAAGUGGUAGAGUACAUGCUUAGCAUGCAUGAGGUCCUGGGUUCAAUCCCCAGUACCCUCU